RNA transcript from Colias croceus (clouded yellow), 1781 nucleotides. It is a transcript of the gene named endoplasmic reticulum lectin 1, with no coding region annotated. The record is from RefSeq and is a predicted model, not a curated record. NCBI's taxonomy places the organism in Eukaryota, Metazoa, Arthropoda, Insecta, Lepidoptera, Pieridae. The transcript is spliced from 9 exons.
CCACCAACUCAGCUGUAAAAAUUCUUUUGGUAUUGGUACACUUAUUACAAUGUUUUAGCUUGUGGUCAAUUUCUGUAUUAUAAAAAUUAAUAUAGAGAGUAAAAGAUGUUCAAUUUAGCUAGGCAGUAGAUUAUCUACUAAUACAGCUUUUUCGUGUUCGAAUGAGAUGUGUUUGAAUUUUAUACCAAGAUAAUUGAAACAGUAAACAUGAAGGGAUUUUUAAUAUGUUUUGUGUAUAUAUUCGGAACUAUCUUUUGCAUAGAACAAGACUUUAAAGGAUUUGAUGAUAGUAUUUUAUUUACAAUAAAUUGGCCAGGCUCUCCUGAUGCACUUGAAAGUCUUGUAGAUAAGGAUAUAAAACCAGAGGAAAAUGAAAUUUUACAAGUUACAACCACACAAAAGGAACAAUAUGAGUGUCAUAUACCAAUACUGCAAAGUAAAGUGACAAACAGUAUUGAAGACUAUGAUGGUCCUACUCCCUUUGAACUGUUAAAGCCAAUAUUCUCACAGAAGAUUUGCUCAUAUCGCUUGGAGAGCUAUUGGAGCUAUGAAGUGUGCCAUGGUCGGCAUGUUAGGCAGUAUCAUGAGGACAGAGAAGGCAAACAAGCAAAAACCCAUGAAUAUUACUUGGGCCGUUGGUCUGAUGAGGAUCAUUUGAAGCUGGCCGAAGAUAUAAAAGCGGCUCAGGAAUCUAGAGAGAAAUUAAAAACAACUAAAGUGGAAGGAAUAACUUUGCCAUAUGUGGAAAUGGUUAUGACUGAGGGUAGCAUGUGUGACUUGAGUGGCCAACCGCGUAAAACAAGAGUACUGUAUGUGUGCUACACCCACGGCAAGCAUGAGAUAUAUUCAAUGAAAGAAACAACAACAUGCGAGUAUGAAAUCAUCAUACUCUCUGGCUUGCUUUGCGACCAUCCACAGUUUAAGUCAAAGGAUGUAUCGGAAAACGAAAUUAAUUGUCUUCCUAUUGGUGAUGCACCGAAAAAACCAAGGAACUUGUUGAAAAGUGAAGUCGAAAGCUUGAAGCUCAACCAUCAAUCAAUAAGAUUGAGCAGCAAUGAGAAGGAUGCUAAAGAUGUUCUAGCUGUAUUGAAAGUUGAGAAAAUCGAUAAGGAUGGCGAAACACACUUGAAGUUAGAACUACAUCCCCUUUCUGAGGAGGGUGACGUCACUCAGUUGGGCAAAACCACACCACUUAUUGACAAGCCAGCUCCGAUAACCGACGAUUCACCUGUACGAGCUUUCCUUAAUGGAGAGAACUGCUUGGAUGGGGGCACGGGGUGGUGGAAGUACGAGUUCUGUUACGGUCGGCACGUGACGCAGUACCACGUGGACCGCUCGGGCGCGCGCACCACGCUCAAGCUGGGCGAGUUCGACGAGCGGGCACAUCUUGAGUGGAUCAAGGAGAAUAGGGGCAAGGCGCCUAAACCCGUCGGUGAGUGUGUGUGGGACACGGUGUUGUGGCCACGCAGUUGUUGGGCACAGUGUUGUGGGGCAACGCGUAGGGCAGAUCAGGUUUCGCUACGGGCAGAUUAGGUUUCGCUACGGGCAGCACUUGACGCAGUACCACGCUCAAGCUGGGCGAGUUCGACGAGCGGGCACAUCUUGAGUGGAUCAAGGAGAAUAGGGGCAAGGCGCCUAAACCCGUCGAAGUCCGUACAUCAGUGUCGCAUUUCUAUUCGAAUGGGGACAUUUGCGACCAAACCGGCAAGCCGCGACAGACAGAAGUGAAACUAAAGUGUUUAGAAAAUUCGUCAAGCCCCGCCCAAGUGUCUCUCUAUCUC